AACAAAGCUGCACAUAAUGUGGUUGGUAAGUGUGCGAAUGGUUGGUGGUGUCCUGGAAGUUGAUAUUUUUCCUGACGCUGUUAACAAAGUAAAUGGACAGACUACGUCCAGGAAGAGAGAAAUGAUAUUUAACAUAUGUGUUAGGAAUUUGCUUGUUAUGUAGGGAUUCUAAGUAAUUCCUGAUUUUGAUCCUUACUACAGUUCUGAACAUUUGGCUCUCUGGGAUGUUGUGUGCUUGCAUGUUAUAGAAAGUUCCUGUUGGAUUUUUCUGUGCUGUCCACAGCAACUCUGCAAUCCAGAGAGAUGUCUGUAGGACGAUUUAAUAAUCUAGAAAAGUGUCUAACUUGUAUGCAUUUAAAGACAUGUAAAUUUAUAUUAAGCCGGUUUGGGUGAAAGCAGGGGAAGGGCUUCUAGGGCUAAAGGGGAAAGAGCUCACCCACAAACUUCUGGCUUCAACAACCCUGUAAGUUAGGUGAGGAAAGUCCUAAAGUAAGAGACCAACUGAAGAAAGGGUUUCUGCGUGUGUGUGUUUAUGUUUAAUUGCAUAUUUUUAUUUUUCAUGAUCUAGUUUUAGUAUUUCUUGUUUGCUGUUCGCUCCUACUUUAGAUAAAUAAUUCAAAUGCAUUAUUAUUCUUUUUACAUUAUUUUUACUUUAAAGGAAGAACUCUUUAAUGUAAAGCUUAGUUUAUCUCCUAAGAGAUCACCUUUUAAUGUGGUCAAUGUGUUUAUUAAGAAAUCUAGAGUGUAGACUCGUUGCCAGGCAACUACUGUUUAUCCACGUGGCCAAAUUGAGUAGUAUGAGGACUGUUGCAUUCUUAGGACUUUUAAGUUCCUGUAUACUGUAUCUAUUUCCUGAUUAAAAGUUACCUUUUAAAUAGUGAUUUCAAUGUUUUUUGCGGGUCUGUAGUUAAUACCUAUGUUUGGAAAGUCAUUGUCAGUAGUUAAAUGGGAUUAUGUAUUACUGAUUUCUAAAAAUUCAUCCUUAUUGAGUUAUAAUUUCCAUACCAAUACAAUUCCCCUAUUUUAAGUGUACAUGGGGAUGAAUUUUGCUACAUGCAUGCAGUAGCAUAACAAACACUGCAGUCAUGACGUUGAACAUCUCUGUCACUCCGAAAGCACCCCUAUUCCGCUCUGCAGUCCGUCCUCUUUCCUGAGCCCUGGGACCCCUAAUCUGCUACAGCUGUAAUCUUCCUUAUAAGUACACUCAUCUGGUCCUCUGUGUCUGGUUACUUUCAUGUAGCAUAAUACUUGAACGAUUCAUCCACAUCGCUGUGUACAUCACAAGUUUGUUCCUUUUUAUUGUUGAGGCAUGUUCUGUAGUCUGGACGUACCACAAUCUAUUUAUUUACUGGCUGAUGGAUAUUUGAGCUAUUUCUAGUUUGGGGCUAUUACACAUAAGGCAGCUAUGCACAUUGGAGAUCAUGUCUUGGUGUGGUUUGUUUUCCUUUUCCCUUGGGCAGUGACCUGGGAACGAGAUUGCUGCUCAUACGGUAAGUGUGUGCUUAACUAUCAAACGGUUUCAGCCAACUAUUGUACGAUUGAGUUUAAUUUAUUGUAUGUUAUAUUAUAAAUUUAGAAGACAUUUUCAGAUUUCACUGCUGUCUGAAGGUGCUUUCUCUUUGUUUUUUUAACUUGUCUAUUAUAUUUAUACUGUCUUUCCUACUUUGUUUUUUGGGGACGGCAAAUCACGUAAACCUUUUGGAGUAAUACUUUAUGCACCUCUAAUGUCUGCUCCCAUUAAGUCUGUUUUGAGGAUUAAGUGAGGUGAUGGAUGUGGAUGUGUUUUGAGAGCUUGAACACAAGUGUGAGUUAUUGCCGGCACCACAUGUUGUCAAAGAUUUAGGGUUGUUCUUGAGUUUGUUUAGUUAAUUGCGUCUUACCUGAAACACCAUGAUAAAAGGUCGGUUUAAAGUGCGUGGGGUAUAGAAGCAAGAAAAAAAUGGACCAGGAUUUCUUUGCAUUUUUCCUGCCUUGGUUAAUAGUACACAAAGAUAUAAAAUGAUAAGUAAAAGUCUUUUCUAUCGUCUGCUCUUCCAACUGGUUUCUCUCCUCAGAGAUGACCAUUGUAGACCUUUUGUAUUUUAUACUUUUUUUGGUGAUUAUUAUCCCAGUUUUGUAUAUAAUACGCUAAGCUUUAUUUUUGAGUAGUUUUACAUAAUCUCGUGUAUCGCCCUUAUGAAAAAUGAAGAAUUUGACUUGUUAAUACCUGUUCUCUUCCUUCCCUAAAAAGAGGGAGUGGGCUCAUGGUUAAACUUCCAACAGGUGCACUCUUCAUUCUAGAAAGUACUUACACAUCAUCUCUAAACUGACCACUUUGGGAGUACCCUACACAAUCUUUCCUCUGAAUUUCCCACAUUCCCCUCCCAGUUUGUGGCAACUGAACGUUUAUUUUAUAUUUUCAGGGUUUGUAAUAGUUAUACUUGCUGAUUCGGAGAAGCAGUAAUCGAUAUUGUGAUAAGUAAACAGUACCUGCUGCCAACCAGAGCAGUAUGGUGGGUGCGUGUGAUGGCAGCCAUAGAGAGCAAAUGAUCGCCUCAUACUCUGUUGGUGUUCGAGAUCAUGACGCACUUUGGUUUGGCCUCUGGUUUGGGCUAUAAUGGUUUUUCCUGGAUUUUCUAAUUGUCACGUUUCCUCCCAUUGGUAAAAGAGUGUAUGCUUUGCUGUCUUCCUUGUAUCACUUGGUCAUCCAGCUUUUUAAUCCUGGUAUUUGUCAAAAUUCUACUGUGAACUGACCUUUUUCUAGGUGUGAUACUCAGCUAGUAGCAUGUUAUUUAAUUGCAUUCCUGGACAAGUUCAGUGCUUUCUUAGAUCUCCUGUCUUUCCCCCAUUUGUUUUGGAUUUAUUUUAUGGUUUUCUAGAAGUAGUUUUUUUUUUUUUUCCUUUUUUCAAUUUCCUGAAGAACUUCUUUCAGAAAGAAUAUGUCAACACAGUGUUUGAAAAUGUGUUUUUCACUUUUACACCUGGUGCAUACCUUUGCUGGGUAUAGAAUUCAGGUUGUGAAACAGUUUUCCUUCAGAGUUUUGAAGGCUGCAUUCCGUUACCUUUUGGUAACCAGUUUUACUGGUAAGAGGCUUAACACUAAUAGGAGUAAUUUCUUUCUAGGUAACCUGUUUGUUGUCUUCUUGAAGUUUGUUGUGUUCAUGCCUCUUUAUCCUUGGCUUUAUAAAAUUUAAGGAGGAUAAGAUGUGGUUCUUUUUAAUUCACCUGUAAAGCAUUUGGUGGACCCUUAGAAUAUGCAGGCAAAUGUGUUUAAUUCUGGGGAGUCUUCUGUAUUUCUUUUGUUAUUUUUUCCCUUCUGUGUCUUCUGUAUUCUUUUAUGGUUUUUGCCCUUAGAGCAUCUAUGUCAGUGCUCUGUUUUAAAAUUUUUCUUUAAUUUCUUUGUUUUCUCUCCUUGUUCUGGAAGAUUCCUCAACUUUUUCUUCGAGCCCUUUACUAAAUUAUUUAUUUCAGCUAUUACUUUAUAUUUCUGGGAAUUCUUUGUAGUUCAUAGCCACCCGCUCUUAUUUUACAGAUUUUUAAUCAAAGGACACCAACGAGACUAUUUUUAAAUUUUUUAUCUGCUUUGAAUAACUUUUUCAGUUUGUUUAUUUUGUUUAUUAUUUUUUUUUCCUUGGUGGUGUUAGUAUUCCUCAGGUAUCUGAUGAUCCCUGUUGGUUUAUUUGUGAAUGAAAGACUGAGUUUACUGGUAGUGACCUCUGUCUGUUUUUGUAAUUCAUGUAUUUUCCCUGUACUUAUGACUGGCUAGAUUCUCUGAAUGAGGAUUUGUAAUGGUACUUUUAACUGGACUCUUACAAGCAUUAGUUGAAAUAUUAGGGGAAACCAAAUGGGGCAUUUUUUUCCUCUGCACUAUUCUUAAUUUAUUCCUUUAGAGAUUUUCAGUAUGAUUUUAAGAAUAAUCUUCUGUUUUAGUCAAGCAAAUUUCAUUAGUCUGUUGUUGCUGUUUGGACAUAUUUUGGCUCAAAUAAUUUCUUCUUAAAGAGUAGUAGUAUUCUCUGCCUCUUUACAAUGGGCAGGUAGAUUAUCAUCACCUGAACUCUGGUGUACUUGUUUUAGAAUAUAUAUAUAAUGUCUGCCUUCUUUACCUCACAGUGUGCUGGUAAGCAUUGUGAGCUAAUGUGUACAGAGUAUUUGUAAACUAUUAAUAAAAGUAUUGAUAUAAAAAAUUCACAGUUACCCUUAGUUUGACUAUCAGUCCUUUUUCUCAAACUUGCAUUUAUGAAUCAGUUCAUGUUAGCUCCUAUCUAGAUAUAAUCUCAUUUCAUUUGUACUUUUGAUGUAAAUAAGUUGUUCAUCAUUAAAUAGCAUCCUGGAGAAGGAAAAAACAGACUUAAAAAUAAUUAAUGAUACUGUGUGGGGCAGAUACUUUCCUAACUUCGGUUAUUGGUGAUAUAUCAACAUUGAAACCUUUUUUUCCUGUACUUUUCUGGAGCAAUUACAGAAUGGUAAAUAUUAAUUGAGAUAACACAUUGAUGUAGUAUUGUUGGUGUUAGAAAUGACAGUAAAGGAAACGUCAUGUAGCACACGUGGAGUAAAGUACCGUCUACAUUUUCCUGCUUGAUGGUCCUGGGAGAGCACAUGAGCUUAGGAGAUACCUGCAGACGUGUUAAACACUUCUUAGACUCUCUCCUUCACAAGAGAGAAGUGACCAGAGGCUGGUCACAGACCAGCCUGUCUGUACUGCCAGUCUCUAAACCUGAUGUCAAAAGUUUUACUCUAGGUUUGUCCUGUUACAGUGAGGGCUAAUAGUUGCUGUGAAGAAAGGUAUUGCAUUAAUAAAGUGGGAAAUUUAACCAGCUUAAAAGGUCUAAAUUAUUGAAUUAAGUAGGUUGCAAUAGCAUUAACCAGAGCUAAUUGUAAUUUAUAAAAUUCCGUUUGCGUAAUAGUACUGUUUCCUAAGAAGGUAAGUAGUCUCUUCUAAAGGUGGAGAGCCAGUUCCUUGAUAACAUGUUAAAAUCUGUAAUGUAUUGGUGGUCAGUGCACAGUCUUACAAUUCUGAAAUUGGUACAAAUUUAAGAGGUGGUUUUAUCAUUAAAAACAUUUGACUGAUGGGGGCGCCUGGGUGGCUCAGUCGGUUAGGUGUCCGACUUCGGCUCAGGUCAUGAUCUCGCGGUCCGUGGGUUCAAGCCCCGCGUCGGGCUCUGUGCUGACAGCUCAGAGCCUGGAGGCUGUUUCAGAUUCUGUGUCUCCCUCUUCCUCUGACCCUCCCCUGUUCAUGCUCUCUCUCUGUCUCAGAAAUAAAUAAAUGUUUAAAAAAAAUAAAAAAAAACAAAACAUUUGACUGAUGAAAAUGCUGCAUGCAUGUGAUAGUUUCUUACGCUUUUUGUUGCUUUGAUAUCUAACAGAUUGAACUUUCAGGUUGUGUUCUGUGUACGUAACCAGUUUGUGCUUUCAAAGCACUCCUUUCCUUAGUUUGCCUGCUACUUAGAGUUUCCAGUUCAAGGAUCUUCAUGAACUGUGUCCUUGGAAUAACACUUGUUUUGUAUUCUGUGAACUGAUUUGUUUAGGUGAACCGGAAUGUUAGUAUUUGGUAAUUCCAAGCUAAACUUCAUAAGUCUAUGAAUUUUCUGUCAAAAUAGCUUAAUGCCACUAUGCAGAAUGUUUUAGUAACGCGAAGAUUGUAAGCUGGGCUAUGUGUUAACAUGAGAUUAUUGUGAGCUAGUCAAUUAUAAGCUGUUCUAGAAAACAGAAUCACAGUUUUUGGGGUUCUCAUCCAAGUCCAAGGGCUUUUUCCUUAACUUUGUAUGUACUUGUACAAGUACCUUUUGCUUCUGUUUUAUUCACAAAGUGAGUUUUAAAUAAAUGAUCAAGUGCUUAUAGAAAUAGAAAACAACUGUAUGAUUUUCUGUUUACUACGCAGAAGCAAGCAUUUUCCAUAGAAUGUGGAGAGCUGUGGUAGCCACUGUAU
Long non-coding RNA from Leopardus geoffroyi (Geoffroy's cat), 5905 nucleotides. RefSeq lists it as uncharacterized. The transcript is spliced from 2 exons. NCBI's taxonomy places the organism in Eukaryota, Metazoa, Chordata, Mammalia, Carnivora, Felidae. The record is from RefSeq and is a predicted model, not a curated record.